GACGAACGCUGGCGGCGUGCCUAAUACAUGCAAGUAGAACGCUGAAGAGAGGAGCUUGCUCUUCUUGGAUGAGUUGCGAACGGGUGAGUAACGCGUAGGUAACCUGCCUUGUAGCGGGGGAUAACUAUUGGAAACGAUAGCUAAUACCGCAUAACAAUGGAUGACACAUUUCAUUUAUUUGAAAGGGGCAAUUGCUCCACUACAAGAUGGACCUGCGUUGUAUUAGCUAGUAGGUGAGGUAAUGGCUCACCUAGGCGACGAUACAUAGCCGACCCGAGAGGGUGAUCGGCCACACUGGGACUGAGACACGGCCCAGACUCCUACGGGAGGCAGCAGUAGGGAAUCUUCGGCAAUGGGGGCAACCCUGAACGAGCAACGCCGCGUGAGUGAAGAAGGUUUUCGGAUCGUAAAGCUCUGUUGUAAGUCAAGAACGGGUGUGAGAGUGGAAAGUUCACACUGUGACGGUAGCUUAACAGAAAGGGACGGCUAACUACGUG
This 497-nucleotide ribosomal RNA is filed under the name uncultured bacterium. Its description in RNAcentral is "partial 16S ribosomal RNA". It matches the Rfam family "Bacterial small subunit ribosomal RNA", at positions 28 to 507 of the family's 1533-position model. The record is from RNAcentral.